UUGGCGGACGGGUGAGUAACGCGUGGGGAACCUGCCCUGUACAGGGGGAGUAACACUUAGAAAUAGGUGCUAAUACCGCAUAAAGCGCACAGUAUCGCAUGAUACAGUGUGAAAAACUCCGGUGGUACAGGAUGGACCCGCGUCUGAUUAGCUGGUUGGCGGGGUAACGGCCCACCAAGGCGACGAUCAGUAGCCGGCCUGAGAGGGUGAACGGCCACAUUGGGACUGAGACACGGCCCAAACUCCUACGGAAGGCAGCAG
Molecule: ribosomal RNA, 261 nt
Filed under: uncultured bacterium
Lineage: Bacteria
Description: partial 16S ribosomal RNA
Rfam family: Bacterial small subunit ribosomal RNA
Source: RNAcentral